Molecule: ribosomal RNA, 497 nt
Filed under: uncultured bacterium
Lineage: Bacteria
Description: partial 16S ribosomal RNA
Rfam family: Bacterial small subunit ribosomal RNA
Source: RNAcentral
GAUGAACGCUGGCGGCGUGCCUAAUACAUGCAAGUCGAGCGAACAGAUGAGGAGCUUGCUCCUCUGACGUUAGCGGCGGACGGGUGAGUAACACGUGGAUAACCUACCUAUAAGACUGGGAUAACUUCGGGAAACCGGAGCUAAUACCGGAUAAUAUAUUGAACCGCAUGGUUCAUUAGUGAAAGACGGUUUUGCUGUCACUUAUAGAUGGUUCCGCGCCGCAUUAGCUAGUUGGUAAGGUAACGGCUUACCAAGGCGACGAUGCGUAGCCGACCUGAGAGGGUGAUCGGCCACACUGGAACUGAGACACGGUCCAGACUCCUACGGGAGGCAGCAGUAGGGAAUCUUCCGCAAUGGGCGAAAGCCUGACGGAGCAACGCCGCGUGAGUGAUGAAGGUCUUCGGAUCGUAAAACUCUGUUAUUAGGGAAGAACAAAUGUGUAAGUAACUAUGCACGUCUUGACGGUACCUAAUCAGAAAGCCACGGCUAACUACGUG